Monodelphis domestica (gray short-tailed opossum) is the source of this 4668-nucleotide non-coding RNA. Lineage: Eukaryota; Metazoa; Chordata; Mammalia; Didelphimorphia; Didelphidae. The record is from RefSeq and is a predicted model, not a curated record.
GAAUGCUGAGAACUGCAGAAUUGAUGCUUUCAAACUAUAGUGGUGGAGAAGACUUUUGAGAGUCCUUUGGAUAGCAAGGAAAUCAAAUUAGUUGGUAUUUAAAGAAAUGAAUUCAGAUUAUUCAUUGGCGAGUCAAAUACUGAAGCUGAGGCUUAAAUACUUUGGUUACAUAAUUAAAAGACAGGACUCAUUGGAAAAGACCCUGAUGUUGGGAAACACUGAAGACAAAAGGAGAAAGAGACAGCAGAGGAUGAGACAGAAAGAGAGUGUCAUGAAAGUAACGAACAUGAACUUGGACAGACUUUGGGAGACAGUAAAAUAUAGAAGGAUCUGGUGUCCAUUGAGUCAUAAAGAGAACUGAACACACAAUGGAACAACAACAAGUGUGCCAGAUACUGUGCUAAGUGCUGGGAAUAUAAAGAAAGACAAAAGAGAGCCGUGCUCUUAAGGAGCUCACAGCUUAAUAAGGGAAACAGCAUGUAGACAACUAUGUGCAAAUAUAGAAAGAUAAAUAUGCCUAUAUACACAUAUGAGUGUAUAGAUAAUAAAUUGAAGAUAACCAACAAAGGGAAGGCAUGAGCAUUAAGGGGUAUCAGGAAAGGCUUCUUGAAGAGGUGGGACUUUAGAUGAGACCUGAAGGAAGCCAAGGAAAGUAGGAGAAGGGGCUGAGGAGGAAGAGAAUUUCAGGCAAGGGAGACAACCAGUGAAAAAUGCCCAUAUUCAGGAGAUAGAGUGACUAGUGCCAGGAACAGCAUGAAGACAGAAACAAAGCUUCCACCCAUUGUUUCUAGUUCUGCCUUUUGGCAGAAUGAAUGAUUGAAGAUCUCCAUAAGACACGCCCUUGCAACAAGGAAAAACAGAUUAUUUCAGUGGUGCUGUAUGACUGCAAGUCAUGGAACACUACAGUCUCCAAAGAAUUCAAGCAGUAGGUCACCCAAAGGGCAAUGCAGAGGUCUGUGGUGGGCGUGAGCGGCUGAAACCAAUUUCCAGGAAGAAAGUGCACAGGAGAUAUAAGUCCAGAUUGUUCCACUGGAAUCCAUGCAGCAUCAAAAGAGCUUGGGGAGGUUUUCACCAUGAUGAGUUGGGGGUGGGUGUGUGGAUCCUUUGGAGAAUCUAUGAGAGGACACACUAAGAGAUUUCCAAGGAAAAGAUGGAAUUUGGGUGGGUUGCAAUCUGUACCUCUGGGAAGAGUUGCCAUGCCCAGAAGAGUACAGAUCUGUUAAAGUAAAUAUUAAGAGAGCUCCAUCAGGACAAAAUUCCUACACUUGGCUUUGUGAGAUAUUUAUCCCACUCUGUCUUAGGUUAUGAUUUGUGGACGGAUCAUAUUUUCCUCAGGGUAUAGAUUUGCUCUGGUGCACCCCUCAAUCCAUUUGCCUCUUCUUCUUAUGGAUCUUUGUCAAAAUAUUCUCAUAAAGCUCCUUCUCCAUAAAGGAUUUACCUAAUUGGAUGAAACCCACAGAACAUUCAGGCAGUGCAUCUAAAACAGGAGUUUUUGUGGGCUUAGAAUUAGCUGGGAAGGGCCUUCGGAAUAGUCAACCCCCUCACUUGAAAGGUAAGGAAACCAAGGUUGUUCUAGAUCACACAGGUAGUAAAUGGCAGGGCUGGGAAUUGUUCCCAGGUUUUUUGACUUCCCAUUCCAUGUAGCAUUAAACCUCAGAUAGACCCUUAGUCUUAGAAUCAGGAAGAACUAAGUUUGAAUCCCACUUCAGACAUUUACUAACUAUGUGAUCUUGGGCAAGUCAUUUUACCUUUAUAGGCCUCAGUUUCCUUAUCUAUAAAAUGAGAAGAUUGGUUCAAGGAUCUCUAAGGUCCCAUAUAGUUUUAAAUUUGUAAUCCUUUUUCUAUUACAGGGAUAGCCUAGGGAGUAGAGUGAUGAUUUCAUUGGUUUAGGGAACUCUCAAUUGAAGAUUAUGAAUCCAAGGCAGGUCUUGAACUUGACUUUCUAUCCUCUACAUAUACUAUCCAUUUAAAUCUGUUGGAUCUCCUUUUCCCCAUAGGAUCAUCCCACUUCCUUUUUUUGGUCAUAUUCUCAGUUAUGUUCUUGUUGUCAGUUUUUGUAUGUAAGUGUAAAUACUGCAAAUUAAUUACAACCAUGGUGUGCCUGGGCAAUAUUCAUUUUUCACUCAUUUUAUUUUUCCUAUGAGGAUAGUUAGACCAAGCUCUUUCACAUGAGAGUUCAUCUGAAAUGGAUCUGGGGAGUUUAUUGAAUUCCAAGUUCACUAUAAGUCAGCAGUAUGUUGUGGGAGCCAAAAAAGGCUAACAAGAUCUUGGACUAUACUAAAAGUUAUGGUAUCUAGAUCUAAUGAAGUGACAGUCUCAUUGUACCCUCUUCCAGUGUGACCACAUCUGGAAGUGUUGCAUUCCAUUCUGAAUGCUACAUUUUAGGAGGGACAUUAAUGGGCUGGAGAGCAUCCAGAGGCAGGCUUGGGCAACCAUGGAAGGAUGGUGCCAUGUUAGGAUCAGUGCAAGGAACUGAGGAUGUUUAGGCAGGAAAAGAGAAGACUCAGUGAUGACAUUAUAUCUUUAAAAGACUGUCAAAAGGAGAAGGAAUCAGACUUCUAGGUCAAGAUGGCUCCAGAGUAGAAGCAGAGCUAGUCUUCUCCUCUCCACCAAUCAAGACACAGUGCCUCAAAAUGAGAAAAAUUUCCCCCACCAAGGAGUGAGCUCAUCACUUCUCCCCCUCUUCACCUACCAUUCCAGAGUCCUAGUGAGCAUGGGACAAACUUCUAAGCUCUAGGAGGGAAGCUGACUGAGGUCAACACGAGACUUACCCCUAAGAGAAACUAGACUCGGAACAUUGGGAGGCUGAGGAAACGUUGAUAUAAGGGUGCAGAGCUUGGAGAGAGGGGUUGGCUCACAGCAAAAUGCCACAGAGAACUUAAAAAAGUCCUUGGGCAAAAACUUCUCCAGUGACACUCCACACCCAGACCUCUUCCAGGCAAUCUUUAAGUUCUCAGGGGCUAGACUUUCUCAUAAGAACAGCAAGACUAGGGACCUCAGGAGGCUGAGGAAACAUGGAGAUAGGGCGUGGAGCUUGGGCAGAGAGAAGUGGCUCAAAGCAAAAACGCCACAGAGACCCAAAAAACAGACUGUGGGUAAAAACCUCUCCAGUGCUCAAUACAGAGACUUGCCUACACUCCACACCCAGACCUCUGAGGCAAUCUUUGAGUUCUUGGGGGCUGGACCUGCCACUAAGAGCAGCUAGAUACUGCUGAGGAUUGGAAAAAAUAUCCUCAGGGCAAAAACCUCUCCAGAGCUCAAUACAAAAGAUCACCCAUAUUCCUCACUUAGACAUCUGACCAGGAAGGAACAAAGCAAUGGCCACCAACUCUCAGGAACUAAAAUUCACAAACACCAAAAAAAGGAAGAAGAAAACUUUAACCCUUGAUAAUUUUUAUGCAGAAAAAAUCCAGACUAAAAAAGAGACAGCAGAAGAUGACAAGCAAUUAAAACACACCCAAAUUGGUCACAAGUUCUUGAAGACUUUAAAUCCAAGAUUGUGAGAAAAAUGGAAGAGAUGUGGCAAGAAAAGUGGGAAAUAGUUCAAAAAGGAAAUAAGUUUAAAAGAGAGUAUCUCCCACUUGGAAAUUGAAGCCCAGAAAUGAAAUGAAAUAAUAAGCAAAUUGAAGACCAGAAGUGACCUGCUGGAAGCCAUGAAAAGCAGGAUAGAUUAAACCAAAAAGGAAAAUCAACAGAUCUUCACUGAAAAAAACAGUCAUUAAAAACUAGAAUUGGGCAAAUAGAAGCCAAUGAUCUCACAAGACAGCAAGAAUUAAUGAAGCAAAGUCAAAAGAAUGACAGAUUAUUAGUCAACACAAGAUAUCUCAUUGAGGGGGAUUGACCUUGAAAAUAGAUCUCAGAGAGACAAUUUGAGAAUCAUAGACCUUCCUAAAAACCUGGAAACAAACAGAAACCUUGACAUCAUAUUACAAGAUAUUGUUCAAGAAAACUGCCCUGAGGUUCUGCAAUAAGAGUGCAAAAUAAACAUUGGAAGAGUCCAUAGAUCACCCACUACACUAAAUCCUCAAAAGACAACCCCAAGAAUGUAAUUGCCAAAUACAAGGGGGUCCAAGCUAAUGAGAAAAUAUUACAAGAAGCCAGAAAGAGACAAUUCAGAUAUCAAGGAGCACCAAUCAGGAUUACACAGGAUCUGGCAGCCUCCACAUUAAAAGACUGCAAGACUUGGAAUAUGCUAUUCAGAAAGGCAAGAGAAAUGGGUCUACAACCAAGGAUCACCUACCCAUCAAAAUUGACUAUAUACUUCCAGGGGAAAGUAUGGGCAUUCAACAAAAUAGAAGACUUCCAAAUAUUUGUAAAGAAAAGACCAGAACUAAACAGAAAAUUUGACAUCAAAAUACAAAAACCAAGAGAAACAUGAAAAGGUAAAUGAGAGAGGGGUCUUAUUUUUUUCUUUAAGAACCGCAAUAAGGCCAAAUUGUUUAUAUUCUUAUAUGGAAAAAUGUUAUUUGCAACUGUCAAAAAUUGUAUUUACUAUAAUAGUAGUUAGAAGAAUUAUCCAUAGGUAGAGAUUGGAGUACUAAGCGGUUUAAAAUCAUAUAUUAAAAAAAAGGAGGGGAGGAGAGAAGAUGGCACCAAGAAAAACUUGAAGAAAUAAGAAAAUUAGGAUAAUCUACACAAAAAGGCACAUGGGAGGGGGAGGGGAAGAAU